GAUGAACGCUAGCUACAGGCUUAACACAUGCAAGUCGAGGGGCAGCAGGGAUUUAGCUUGCUAAAUCCGCUGGCGACCGGCGCACGGGUGCGUAACGCGUAUCCAACUUUCCCGUUACUCAGGGAUAGCCUUCCGAAAGGGAGAUUAAUACCUGAUGGUGUUUGAAAUUCGCAUGUUCUUCAAACUAAAGAUUUAUCGGUAACGGAUAGGGAUGCGUGACAUUAGAUAGUAGGCGGGGUAACGGCCCACCUAGUCUACGAUGUCUAGGGGUUCUGAGAGGAAGGUCCCCCACACUGGAACUGAGACACGGUCCAAACUCCUACGGGAGGCAGCAGUGAGGAAUAUUGGUCAAUGGACGAGAGUCUGAACCAGCCAAGUAGCGUGAAGGAUGACUGCCCUAUGGGUUGUAAACUUCUUUUAUACGGGAACAAACUCCGGUACGUGUACCGGUCUGCGUGUACCGUAUGAAUAAGCAUCGGCUAACUCCGUGCCAGCAGCCGCGGU
Molecule: ribosomal RNA, 504 nt
Filed under: uncultured bacterium
Lineage: Bacteria
Description: bacterial SSU rRNA
Rfam family: Bacterial small subunit ribosomal RNA
Source: RNAcentral